Molecule: long non-coding RNA, 501 nt
Organism: Hyalella azteca
Lineage: Eukaryota; Metazoa; Arthropoda; Malacostraca; Amphipoda; Hyalellidae
Exons: 4
Source: RefSeq, a predicted model, not a curated record
CUUGCGACUCUGGAAAUAAUGUUACAGUCAAGAAAUGUUAUUGGCUAAGUUCUUGAGGGACCGUCCAGGGUUAUCCAGGUGGGGUAUUUAAGCUCCGCCGGCUGGCACGACUGCAUCACUGCCCCUCUGCUUGCCUAGCUGUGAAUACAGUAUAUGGUUAUAAGGAAUUAAAAAUUUACGCUCACCAUGAGGGCUAUCGUCCUGUUCGCUGUAGUGUUUGUGAUCCUCGUCUCGUCUCCAGAAGCAGAAGGAAAGAAUAAAGGAGGAGGUUGCACCAGGAACUCGGACUGCCCUCCCGGCGACAUCUGUUGCUCCGAAGGCUGCGCCAAAAGAUGUCACGACCCAUACAAGGACUGGAUACCCUAUUGAAUGUUUUUUUAAAACAUCGCACAUUCACUUUAUAUGAAAUACAGCAUUUCCGAUUUUGACUAUGUUCCAAGUCGUAUGUUGAUAUCCACAAGGAGAUUAUUUUAGUUUCGUUGAAUGAUGUAUUUCAUACAU